This 285-nucleotide long non-coding RNA is filed under the name Gossypium barbadense (sea-island cotton). RNAcentral's name for it is "long non-coding RNA (GBAR_LNC014805)". The record is from RNAcentral. Lineage: Eukaryota; Viridiplantae; Streptophyta; Magnoliopsida; Malvales; Malvaceae.
AAAAACAAAAAUCUUUUUAUCAACCAUCAAAACAGAUAGAUCAUCAAUAAAUAAAAUAGGAUAGUCAAGCACGUUUCGAUCUAAGUGUUCAUCAACACGAUCUUUAUCACUAUCCGAGGAGUACAAAAGUGUUUCAAAGGUUUCAAGCAUCUUACCUCGAUAAGCAGAAGAAUAAGGGUCGAUUUUACCUUUUUCAUUUAAAACAAACCUUCGCUCAUCGGGGGUAUAGUGUAGUCGAAUCUUCGUUGUUGAGUUAACGUUUGUCAAAUGGAACUCAAACUUCAU